CAUUAGUUAGUUGGUGAGGUAACGGCUCACCAAGACUGCGAUGGGUAGCCGGCCUGAGAGGGUGAACGGCCACACUGGAACUGAGACACGGUCCAGACUCCUACGGGAGGCAGCAGUGGGGAAUAUUGCACAAUGGAGGAAACUCUGAUGCAGCGACGCCGCGUGAACGAUGAAGGCUUUCGGGUCGUAAAGUUCUGUCCUAGGGGACGAUAAUGACGGUACCCUAGGAGGAAGCCCCGGCUAACUACGUGCCAGCAGCCGCGGUAAUACGUAGGGGGCGAGCGUUGUCCGGAUUUAUUGGGCGUAAAGGGUUCGCAGGCGGUCUCUUAAGUUAGAUGUGAAAGAUCACGGCUCAACCGUGGUAAGCAUUUAAAACUGGGAGACUUGAGUUAAGGAGAGGAAAGUGGAAUUCCUAGUGUAGCGGUGAAAUGCGUAGAUAUUAGGAGGAAUACCAGUGGCGAAGGCGACUUUCUGGACUUAUACUGACGCUGAGGAACGAAAGCGUGGGGAGCAAACAGGAUUAGAUACCCUGGUAGUCCACGCCGUAAACGAUGGGUGCUAGGUGUCGGGGGUCAAACCUCGGUGCCGCAGCUAACGCA
This 599-nucleotide ribosomal RNA is filed under the name uncultured bacterium. Its description in RNAcentral is "bacterial SSU rRNA". It matches the Rfam family "Bacterial small subunit ribosomal RNA", at positions 239 to 859 of the family's 1533-position model. The record is from RNAcentral.